RNAcentral lists this unclassified non-coding RNA (138 nucleotides) under soil metagenome. RNAcentral's name for it is "partial internal transcribed spacer 1". The record is from RNAcentral.
CCUAGAGUUGUAGGCUUUGCCUGCUAUCUCUUACCCAUGUCUUUUGAGUACCUUCGUUUCCUCGGCGGGUCCGCCCGCCGAUUGGACAAUUCAAACCAUUUGCAGUUGCAAUCAGCGUCUGAAAAAACUUAAUAGUUA